RNAcentral lists this ribosomal RNA (2924 nucleotides) under Salmonella enterica subsp. enterica serovar Enteritidis. Its description in RNAcentral is "bacterial LSU rRNA". It matches the Rfam family "Bacterial large subunit ribosomal RNA". The record is from RNAcentral. Lineage: Bacteria; Pseudomonadati; Pseudomonadota; Gammaproteobacteria; Enterobacterales; Enterobacteriaceae.
GGGUUGUGAGGUUAAGCGACUAAGCGUACACGGUGGAUGCCCUGGCAGUCAGAGGCGAUGAAGGGCGUGCUAAUCUGCGAUAAGCGCCGGUAAGGUGAUAUGAACCGUUAUAACCGGCGAUACCCGAAUGGGGAAACCCAGUGUGACUCGUCACACUAUCAUUAACUGAAUCCAUAGGUUAAUGAGGCGAACCGGGGGAACUGAAACAUCUAAGUACCCCGAGGAAAAGAAAUCAACCGAGAUUCCCCCAGUAGCGGCGAGCGAACGGGGAGGAGCCCAGAGCCUGAAUCAGCAUGUGUGUUAGUGGAAGCGUCUGGAAAGGCGCGCGAUACAGGGUGACAGCCCCGUACACAAAAGCGCAUGUGCUGUGAGCUCGAUGAGUAGGGCGGGACACGUGGUAUCCUGUCUGAAUAUGGGGGGACCAUCCUCCAAGGCUAAAUACUCCUGACUGACCGAUAGUGAACCAGUACCGUGAGGGAAAGGCGAAAAGAACCCCGGCGAGGGGAGUGAAAAAGAACCUGAAACCGUGUACGUACAAGCAGUGGGAGCACCCUUUGGGUGUGACUGCGUACCUUUUGUAUAAUGGGUCAGCGACUUAUAUUCUGUAGCAAGGUUAACCGAAUAGGGGAGCCGGAGGGAAACCGAGUCUUAAUUGGGCGUUAAGUUGCAGGGUAUAGACCCGAAACCCGGUGAUCUAGCCAUGGGCAGGUUGAAGGUUGGGUAACACUAACUGGAGGACCGAACCGACUAAUGUUGAAAAAUUAGCGGAUGACCUGUGGCUGGGGGUGAAAGGCCAAUCAAACCGGGAGAUAGCUGGUUCUCCCCGAAAGCUAUUUAGGUAGCGCCUCGUGAAUUCAUCUCCGGGGGUAGAGCACUGUUUCGGCUAGGGGGCCAUCCCGGCUUACCAACCCGAUGCAAACUGCGAAUACCGGAGAAUGUUAUCACGGGAGACACACGGCGGGUGCUAACGUCCGUCGUGAAGAGGGAAACAACCCAGACCGCCAGCUAAGGUCCCAAAGUCAUGGUUAAGUGGGAAACGAUGUGGGAAGGCCCAGACAGCCAGGAUGUUGGCUUAGAAGCAGCCAUCAUUUAAAGAAAGCGUAAUAGCUCACUGGUCGAGUCGGCCUGCGCGGAAGAUGUAACGGGGCUAAACCAUGCACCGAAGCUGCGGCAGCGACACUGUGUGUUGUUGGGUAGGGGAGCGUUCUGUAAGCCUGUGAAGGUGUGUCGUGAGGCAUGCUGGAGGUAUCAGAAGUGCGAAUGCUGACAUAAGUAACGAUAAAGCGGGUGAAAAGCCCGCUCGCCGGAAGACCAAGGGUUCCUGUCCAACGUUAAUCGGGGCAGGGUGAGUCGACCCCUAAGGCGAGGCCGAAAGGCGUAGUCGAUGGGAAACGGGUUAAUAUUCCCGUACUUGGUGUUACUGCGAAGGGGGACGGAGAAGGCUAUGUUGGCCGGGCGACGGUUGUCCCGGUUUAAGUGUGUAGGUGUGUGUUCCAGGUAAAUCCGGUUCACUUUAACACUGAGGCGUGACGACGAGGCACUACGGUGCUGAAGCAACAAAUGCCCUGCUUCCAGGAAAAGCCUCUAAGCAUCAGGUAACAUCAAAUCGUACCCCAAACCGACACAGGUGGUCAGGUAGAGAAUACCAAGGCGCUUGAGAGAACUCGGGUGAAGGAACUAGGCAAAAUGGUGCCGUAACUUCGGGAGAAGGCACGCUGACACGUAGGUGAAGUGAUUUACUCAUGGAGCUGAAGUCAGUCGAAGAUACCAGCUGGCUGCAACUGUUUAUUAAAAACACAGCACUGUGCAAACACGAAAGUGGACGUAUACGGUGUGACGCCUGCCCGGUGCCGGAAGGUUAAUUGAUGGGGUCAGCGCAAGCGAAGCUCCUGAUCGAAGCCCCGGUAAACGGCGGCCGUAACUAUAACGGUCCUAAGGUAGCGAAAUUCCUUGUCGGGUAAGUUCCGACCUGCACGAAUGGCGUAAUGAUGGCCAGGCUGUCUCCACCCGAGACUCAGUGAAAUUGAACUCGCUGUGAAGAUGCAGUGUACCCGCGGCAAGACGGAAAGACCCCGUGAACCUUUACUAUAGCUUGACACUGAACAUUGAGCCUUGAUGUGUAGGAUAGGUGGGAGGCUUUGAAGUGUGGACGCCAGUCUGCAUGGAGCCGACCUUGAAAUACCACCCUUUAAUGUUUGAUGUUCUAACGUGGACCCGUUACCCGGGUUGCGGACAGUGUCUGGUGGGUAGUUUGACUGGGGCGGUCUCCUCCUAAAGAGUAACGGAGGAGCACGAAGGUUGGCUAAUCCUGGUCGGACAUCAGGAGGUUAGUGCAAUGGCAUAAGCCAGCUUGACUGCGAGCGUGACGGCGCGAGCAGGUGCGAAAGCAGGUCAUAGUGAUCCGGUGGUUCUGAAUGGAAGGGCCAUCGCUCAACGGAUAAAAGGUACUCCGGGGAUAACAGGCUGAUACCGCCCAAGAGUUCAUAUCGACGGCGGUGUUUGGCACCUCGAUGUCGGCUCAUCACAUCCUGGGGCUGAAGUAGGUCCCAAGGGUAUGGCUGUUCGCCAUUUAAAGUGGUACGCGAGCUGGGUUUAGAACGUCGUGAGACAGUUCGGUCCCUAUCUGCCGUGGGCGCUGGAGAACUGAGGGGGGCUGCUCCUAGUACGAGAGGACCGGAGUGGACGCAUCACUGGUGUUCGGGUUGUCAUGCCAAUGGCACUGCCCGGUAGCUAAAUGCGGAAGAGAUAAGUGCUGAAAGCAUCUAAGCACGAAACUUGCCCCGAGAUGAGUUCUCCCUGAGACUUAAAGUCUCCUGAAGGAACGUUGAAGACGACGACGUUGAUAGGCCGGGUGUGUAAGCGCAGCGAUGCGUUGAGCUAACCGGUACUAAUGAACCGUGAGGCUUAACCUUACAACGCCGAAG